RNAcentral lists this ribosomal RNA (495 nucleotides) under uncultured bacterium. RNAcentral describes it as "partial 16S ribosomal RNA". It matches the Rfam family "Bacterial small subunit ribosomal RNA", at positions 28 to 507 of the family's 1533-position model. The record is from RNAcentral.
GACGAACGCUGGCGGCGUGCCUAAUACAUGCCAGUAGAACGCUGAAGGAGGAGCUUGCUUCUCUGGAUGAGUUGCGAACGGGUGAGUAACGCGUAGGUAACCUGCCUGGUAGCGGGGGAUAACUAUUGGAAACGAUAGCUAAUACCGCAUAAUAUUGACUAUUGCAUGAUAGUCAGUUGAAAGGUGCAACUGCACCACUACCAGAUGGACCUGCGUUGUAUUAGCUAGUUGGUGGGGUAACGGCUCACCAAGGCGACGAUACAUAGCCGACCUGAGAGGGUGAUCGGCCACACUGGGACUGAGACACGGCCCAGACUCCUACGGGAGGCAGCAGUAGGGAAUCUUCGGCAAUGGACGGAAGUCUGACCGAGCAACGCCGCGUGAGGGAAGAAGGUUUUCGGAUCGUAAAGCUCUGUUGUAAGAGAAGAACGAGUGUGAGAGUGGAAAGCUCACACUGUGACGGUAUCUUACCAGAAAGGGACGGCUAACUACGUG